GUCGAGCGGACAGAUGGGAGCUUGCUCCCUGAUGUUAGCGGCGGACGGGUGAGUAACACGUGGGUAACCUGCCUGUAAGACUGGGAUAACUCCGGGAAACCGGGGCUAAUACCGGAUGGUUGUUUGAACCGCAUGGUUCAAACAUAAAAGGUGGCUUCGGCUACCACUUACAGAUGGACCCGCGGCGCAUUAGCUAGUUGGUGAGGUAACGGCUCACCAAGGCGACGAUGCGUAGCCGACCUGAGAGGGUGAUCGGCCACACUGGGACUGAGACACGGCCCAGACUCCUACGGGAGGCAGCAGUAGGGAAUCUUCCGCAAUGGACGAAAGUCUGACGGAGCAACGCCGCGUGAGUGAUGAAGGUUUUCGGAUCGUAAAGCUCUGUUGUUAGGGAAGAACAAGUGCCGUUCGAAUAGGGCGGUACCUUGACGGUACCUAACCAGAAAGCCACGGCUAACUACGUGCCAGCAGCCGCGGUAAUACGUAGGUGGCAAGCGUUGUCCGGAAUUAUUGGGCGUAAAGGGCUCGCAGGCGGUUUCUUAAGUCUGAUGUGAAAGCCCCCGGCUCAACCGGGGAGGGUCAUUGGAAACUGGGGAACUUGAGUGCAGAAGAGGAGAGUGGAAUUCCACGUGUAGCGGUGAAAUGCGUAGAGAUGUGGAGGAACACCAGUGGCGAAGGCGACUCUCUGGUCUGUAACUGACGCUGAGGAGCGAAAGCGUGGGGAGCGAACAGGAUUAGAUACCCUGGUAGUCCACGCCGUAAACGAUGAG
RNAcentral lists this ribosomal RNA (770 nucleotides) under Bacillus sp. (in: firmicutes). Its description in RNAcentral is "bacterial SSU rRNA". It matches the Rfam family "Bacterial small subunit ribosomal RNA", at positions 61 to 813 of the family's 1533-position model. Lineage: Bacteria; Bacillati; Bacillota; Bacilli; Caryophanales; Bacillaceae. The record is from RNAcentral.